This 799-nucleotide long non-coding RNA is filed under the name Equus asinus (donkey). Its description in RNAcentral is "lncRNA (ENSEASG00005033179.1)". Lineage: Eukaryota; Metazoa; Chordata; Mammalia; Perissodactyla; Equidae. The record is from RNAcentral.
UGAAGCCAUUUUAAAUUGGACCGCCAGAGAUCUGAGGUUACUUAAGAUCCCAGAUUUGAGCAGGACAGGAGAUCUGGAUCUGAAGACACUCAGAAACCUUGGUGUCAUUGUCAUCUGAGCCUCCAUUUGUGGUCACUAGGUCACCAACUGUAAAAUGCAUGUAGAGACCCAUGUCCUUGGAACCCAGCUGCUAUUUUGGGAGGAAGCCCAAGCCAUGAAGAAAGGUCUUACCAUGUGGAAAUCGAAUAGAUGGGAGGCAGAAUCUCACAUCCCAGCACUGAAGUCUUAGACUACAGACUUGAGCUUUGUCAGUUGAAUUCUCCUGCCUGGGACUGAAUCUGGAGCAGAUUCUAUUAGUUGUUUCUUAUACUGGCUCUGAUGAAGCAAGCUGCCAUAGGGAGAAGUCCAUGUGGCAAGGAACUGAGGGUGGCCUGCAGCUAACAACUAUCAAGAAAUUGAUGUCCUCAGUCCAAUAACCUGUAAAGAAUUGUACCCUACUGACAACCGUGUGAACUUGGAAGAGCAUCCUUCCCCAGUCUAGCCUAUAUGAGACCCUAGGCCUGGUUGAGACCUUGAGCUUCAGCCUAGUAAAACACCCUGAAGCAGAGAACCAGUUAAAUCAUAUCCAGAUUUCUGACCCAGAGAAACUGUGAGAUAAUAAAUAUGUGGUGUUUUAAGCUGCUAAUUUUGUGGUUAUUUUUCACAUGGCAACAGAUAACUAACACAUUCACCCAAGGUCAUACAAGUGGUAAGUUAAUGAGUAAGGAUAUGAAACUUGGCAGUCUGGCUUUGAUUUAGG